UUCUUCGUGUGUACACCUGGCUAAAUCGCGCGCGCGAUACCCGCGCACGUUUCAGCGGCCGGGAACAAUAGAAGUGGAACUGAUACCUUUCCGUCGUACUUUUUUCGGUUUAAGACGACUGAAUGAGACGCGCCAUCCACUGCUGGUGGCUCGCGUUCCAACCCCCUCCAGACGUACUAUUGACCAAUCAUGGGAAUUGAAGGGUUUGCUGAGAGAACGAGGUCUGCUUUUCUAAUAACGUUCUUGGCUAUAGAACUACCAGGCAGGUCAAACUGACCCAUUCCUGAUUUCUUCUUUUUGCAAUUAUUGAAAACAUUACCGAAGAUUCUCUGGGAUUUUUAGCGUUGAAAUUCUGAAUUCGCAUGAAGAUCCGCAAUCUACUCAUCACUGUCCACGCAGGACUGACGUUUAAUCUCCUGAAUCCCUCCGGAGAAAAAAUUUGGAACUAGUGGAGAUAUGAAAUGAAACUAGGAAGAAACGAG
Molecule: long non-coding RNA, 482 nt
Organism: Nomia melanderi (Alkali bee)
Lineage: Eukaryota; Metazoa; Arthropoda; Insecta; Hymenoptera; Halictidae
Source: RefSeq, a predicted model, not a curated record